This 444-nucleotide ribosomal RNA is filed under the name uncultured bacterium. RNAcentral's name for it is "bacterial SSU rRNA". It matches the Rfam family "Bacterial small subunit ribosomal RNA", at positions 331 to 792 of the family's 1533-position model. The record is from RNAcentral.
CCAGACUCCUACGGGAGGCAGCAGUGGGGAAUAUUGCACAAUGGGGGAAACCCUGAUGCAGCGACGCCGCGUGAGUGAAGAAGUAUCUCGGUACGUAAAGCUCUAUCAGCAGGGAAGAAAAUGACGGUACCUGACUAAGAAGCCCCGGCUAACUACGUGCCAGCAGCCGCGGUAAUACGUAGGGGGCAAGCGUUAUCCGGAUUUACUGGGUGUAAAGGGAGCGUAGACGGCAGCACAAGUCUGGAGUGAAAUCCCGGGGCUUAACCCCGGAACUGCUUUGGAAACUGUGCAGCUAGAGUGCAGGAGAGGUAAGCGGAAUUCCUAGUGUAGCGGUGAAAUGCGUAGAUAUUAGGAGGAACACCAGUGGCGAAGGCGGCUUACUGGACUGUAACUGACGUUGAGGCUCGAAAGCGUGGGGAUCGAACAGGAUUAGAUACCCCCGUA